This 335-nucleotide unclassified non-coding RNA is filed under the name soil metagenome. RNAcentral's name for it is "partial contains 5.8S ribosomal RNA, internal transcribed spacer 2, and large subunit ribosomal RNA". The stretch from base 1 to 120 matches the Rfam family "5.8S ribosomal RNA", at positions 35 to 154 of the family's 154-position model. The record is from RNAcentral.
GAUGAAGAACGAAGCGAAAUGCGAUAAGUAAUGUGAAUUGCAGAAUUCAGUGAAUCAUCGAAUCUUUGAACGCACAUUGCGCCCGCCAGUAUUCUGGCGGGCAUGCCUGUUCGAGCGUCAUUUCAACCAUCAAGCCCCCGGGCUUGUGUUGGGGACCUGCGGCUGCCGCAGGCCCUGAAAACCAGUGGCGGGCUCGCUAGUCACUCCGAGCGUAGUAGUUACAUCUCGCUCAGGGCGUGCUGCGGGUUCCGGCCGUUAAAAGCCUUUUACCCCAAGGUUGACCUCGGAUCAGGUAGGAAGACCCGCUGAACUUAAGCAUAUCAAUAAGCGGAGGA